GGGGCCGUUAGGGGUUCUGUCAGGGGUUCUGUCAGGGUUUCUGUCAGGGCUGAGGGCGAAAUUUGUAUAAAUGCCUGAAGGGGGGUUCUCUCUAGAGAAAGGAAGGGCCCGGGGGGGCUGUGGGGAGUGUUCCCCAGAAAUCCGGCUGUCCACGCGUGUUGCAGGAUUUCCCGAGCCGCCUGGCAGCACCCAGAGAUAACGCUCAUCUGCUUCUGCUCAAGAGAGUAAAGUGUACUACUGGUGUCCAUAUGCAAGAUGGAAAGCAUGUUGAGAAACUCAAAUACAACAUCUUCAAAUGGCAGCACUAUGACAUAAAGGUUUCAGGAGACCUAUGUACAAUUGUUAACUAUGGACAUGGACCUGCUCAAGGAAAAAAAUCUGUUUUUAUUACAAAAAAAAUGCUGUCAAGCUUAUUCCAAGUUCAGUAUAAUCUACCUAUUCCUUCAUCACAUGAAAUAAAAAAGUGGAGAAAUGUUUCUAAUUAUGCACCUAUAGACAAACAUGUUAUGAACACUUCUAAUAGUCAUAUAAUGUAGUUAUUUUUGAUGGGAAAGGAUACAUUUUUAUCCCCCUGUGGAAAAAUGGUAAAGCACUGAUUAUGUUACCCCUGUGACAUUUUUACUUUUCAUGCUAUUUCAUCAAUAUUCAUGUGUUUUCUCCAUUAAAAACUCUUACAACAUGUUGAAAUAAUUAAAUCCCUCCCCCCAAAAAGCUAAUGCAGAAAGCUAAUUCAUGAAUGAGGUAAACAAUGACCAGGAAAACAUAAAUCAUAAGCAGAGAAUGCCAAUAGAAAAUAAUUUACUUACUGAAGACGAUUAUGCAA
Molecule: long non-coding RNA, 823 nt
Organism: Anas platyrhynchos (mallard)
Lineage: Eukaryota; Metazoa; Chordata; Aves; Anseriformes; Anatidae
Source: RefSeq, a predicted model, not a curated record